This 1352-nucleotide ribosomal RNA is filed under the name Kocuria sp. RNAcentral's name for it is "bacterial SSU rRNA". It matches the Rfam family "Bacterial small subunit ribosomal RNA", at positions 76 to 1438 of the family's 1533-position model. The record is from RNAcentral. Lineage: Bacteria; Bacillati; Actinomycetota; Actinomycetes; Micrococcales; Micrococcaceae.
CAGCUUGCUGGGCGGAUUAGUGGCGAACGGGUGAGUAAUACGUGAGUAACCUGCCCUUGACUCUGGGAUAAGCCUGGGAAACUGGGUCUAAUACUGGAUACUACCGUCCACCGCAUGGUGGGUGGUGGAAAGGGUUUUACUGGUUUUGGAUGGGCUCACGGCCUAUCAGCUUGUUGGUGGGGUAAUGGCUCACCAAGGCGACGACGGGUAGCCGGCCUGAGAGGGUGACCGGCCACACUGGGACUGAGACACGGCCCAGACUCCUACGGGAGGCAGCAGUGGGGAAUAUUGCACAAUGGGCGGAAGCCUGAUGCAGCGACGCCGCGUGAGGGAUGACGGCCUUCGGGUUGUAAACCUCUUUCAGUAGGGAAGAAGCGAGAGUGACGGUACCUGCAGAAGAAGCGCCGGCUAACUACGUGCCAGCAGCCGCGGUAAUACGUAGGGCGCAAGCGUUGUCCGGAAUUAUUGGGCGUAAAGAGCUCGUAGGCGGUUUGUCGCGUCUGCUGUGAAAGCCCGGGGCUCAACCCCGGGUCUGCAGUGGGUACGGGCAGACUAGAGUGCAGUAGGGGAGACUGGAAUUCCUGGUGUAGCGGUGAAAUGCGCAGAUAUCAGGAGGAACACCGAUGGCGAAGGCAGGUCUCUGGGCUGUUACUGACGCUGAGGAGCGAAAGCAUGGGGAGCGAACAGGAUUAGAUACCCUGGUAGUCCAUGCCGUAAACGUUGGGCACUAGGUGUGGGGGACAUUCCACGUUUUCCGCGCCGUAGCUAACGCAUUAAGUGCCCCGCCUGGGGAGUACGGCCGCAAGGCUAAAACUCAAAGGAAUUGACGGGGGCCCGCACAAGCGGCGGAGCAUGCGGAUUAAUUCGAUGCAACGCGAAGAACCUUACCAAGGCUUGACAUUCACCGGACCGCCCCAGAGAUGGGGUUUCCCUUCGGGGCUGGUGGACAGGUGGUGCAUGGUUGUCGUCAGCUCGUGUCGUGAGAUGUUGGGUUAAGUCCCGCAACGAGCGCAACCCUCGUUCUAUGUUGCCAGCACGUGAUGGUGGGGACUCAUAGGAGACUGCCGGGGUCAACUCGGAGGAAGGUGGGGAUGACGUCAAAUCAUCAUGCCCCUUAUGUCUUGGGCUUCACGCAUGCUACAAUGGCCGGUACAAAGGGUUGCGAUACUGUGAGGUGGAGCUAAUCCCAAAAAGCCGGUCUCAGUUCGGAUUGAGGUCUGCAACUCGACCUCAUGAAGUCGGAGUCGCUAGUAAUCGCAGAUCAGCAACGCUGCGGUGAAUACGUUCCCGGGCCUUGUACACACCGCCCGUCAAGGCACGAAAGUUGGUAACACCCGAAGCCGGUGGCCUAA